AAGACACUAGUAAAACUUAGCAUUACAUUACCUUGUCAAGGUAAAAUUGUGGGUGGGAGCCCCGCGUGUCUUG
RNAcentral lists this transfer RNA (73 nucleotides) under Brama japonica. Its description in RNAcentral is "tRNA-Asp". It matches the Rfam family "tRNA". Rfam says of the family: Transfer RNA (tRNA) molecules are approximately 80 nucleotides in length. Their secondary structure includes four short double-helical elements and three loops (D, anti-codon, and T loops). Further hydrogen bonds mediate the characteristic L-shaped molecular structure. tRNAs have two regions of fundamental functional importance: the anti-codon, which is responsible for specific mRNA codon recognition, and the 3' end, to which the tRNAs corresponding amino acid is attached (by aminoacyl-tRNA synthetases). tRNAs cope with the degeneracy of the genetic code in two manners: having more than one tRNA (with a specific anti-codon) for a particular amino acid; and 'wobble' base-pairing, i.e. permitting non-standard base-pairing at the 3rd anti-codon position. Lineage: Eukaryota; Metazoa; Chordata; Actinopteri; Scombriformes; Bramidae. RNAcentral also lists the same sequence under 3 other names. The record is from RNAcentral.